This 237-nucleotide ribosomal RNA is filed under the name uncultured bacterium. Its description in RNAcentral is "partial 16S ribosomal RNA". It matches the Rfam family "Bacterial small subunit ribosomal RNA", at positions 16 to 233 of the family's 1533-position model. The record is from RNAcentral.
AUCAUGGCUCAGGAUGAACGCUGGCGGCGUGCUUAACACAUGCAAGUCGAGCGAAGCACUUAGGAAAGAUUCUUCGGAUGAUUUCCUAAGUGACUGAGCGGCGGACGGGUGAGUAACGCGUGGGUAACCUGCCUCAUACGAGGGGGAUAACAGUUAAGAAAUGACUGCUAAUACCGCAUAAGGCCACAGCACCGCAUGGUGCGAGGGGUAAAACUCCGGUGGUAUGAGAUGGACCCG